CUGCCAUACCAUGCUGAAUAUACCGGUUCUCGUUAGAUCACCGAAGUCAAGCAUCAUUGGGCGCGGUCAGUACUUGGGUGGGUGACCACCUGGGAACACCGCGUGUCGUU
Non-coding RNA from Caerostris darwini, 110 nucleotides. NCBI's taxonomy places the organism in Eukaryota, Metazoa, Arthropoda, Arachnida, Araneae, Araneidae. The record is from the annotation of a GenBank genome assembly.